RNAcentral lists this ribosomal RNA (301 nucleotides) under uncultured bacterium. RNAcentral describes it as "partial 16S ribosomal RNA". It matches the Rfam family "Bacterial small subunit ribosomal RNA", at positions 509 to 807 of the family's 1533-position model. The record is from RNAcentral.
CAGUAGCCGCGGGAAUACGAAGGGUGCAAGCGUUACUCGGAAUUACUGGGCGUAAAGCGUGCGUAGGUGGUGGUUUAAGUCCGUUGUGAAAGCCCUGGGCUCAGCCUGGGAAUUGCAGUGGAUACUGGGUCACUAGAGUGUGGUAGAGGAUAGUGGAAUUUCCGGUGUAGCAGUGAAAUGCGUAGAGAUCGGAAGGAACAUCUGUGGCGAAGGCGACUAUCUGGGCCAACACUGACACUGAGGCACGAAAGCGUGGGGAGCAAACAGGAUUAGAUACCCGUGUAGUCCCUGUCUCUUAUAC